Molecule: transfer RNA, 79 nt
Filed under: Ipomoea nil (Japanese morning glory)
Lineage: Eukaryota; Viridiplantae; Streptophyta; Magnoliopsida; Solanales; Convolvulaceae
Rfam family: tRNA
About the family: Transfer RNA (tRNA) molecules are approximately 80 nucleotides in length. Their secondary structure includes four short double-helical elements and three loops (D, anti-codon, and T loops).
Source: Rfam by way of RNAcentral
AGAUGGUUGGCCGAGUGCUCUAAGGCGCAGAUUUAGGCUCUGGUCCGAAAGGGCGUGGGUUCAAAUCCCACAAUGUUUA